This 252-nucleotide ribosomal RNA is filed under the name uncultured bacterium. RNAcentral describes it as "partial 16S ribosomal RNA". It matches the Rfam family "Bacterial small subunit ribosomal RNA", at positions 524 to 776 of the family's 1533-position model. The record is from RNAcentral.
UACGGAGGAUCCAAGCGUUAUCCGGAUUUAUUGGGUUUAAAGGUGCGUAGGCGGAUUGAUAAGUUAGAGGUGAAAUGUCCGAGCUCAACUCGGGAACUGCCUCUAAUACUGUUGAUCUAGAGAGUAGAUGCGGUAGGCGGAAUGUAUGGUGUAGCGGUGAAAUGCUUAGAGAUCAUACAGAACACCGAUUGCGAAGGCAGCUUACCAAUCUAUAUCUGACGUUGAGGCACGAAAGCGUGGGGAGCAAACAGG